AAAGUGAUUUAGGUUUUUCCACAUUUUUAUUUGUUUGUUGCUUAUUACUUAUUUUAAAAAAAAUUAUUUAUUUAGAUAUAUGCUUAUCAUUUCUUUAAUGGAAAUUUUCAAAGAUACACAAAAGUAGAGAGACUAGAACCUCCAAGUAUCACUCGGCUUCAACAAUGAUUAUUUUUUCAAUAUGUUUGAUGAUAUGAUUUCUGCUAGAAUUAUCUCUUACAUUCUUUCUGAUGUAAUUACUACUUUAUUCAUAUAACAUCUUGGUGUUCCCACACCAUUGGUAUAAUUACUGCCUUACACUAGUUAAUUGUGGCUGAUGCAGGGGACAUUUGUAUGCUAUUAAAUGCUCUUGUUGAAGUUAGCUCACUACAGGCCACAAAGUAUUUCUGUUUUCCCUGAAACAGGAUUGUUUUGAGUUUUAAGUUUUGGCUUAGCUUGGGUUCAAAAACGAAUCUGUUUGGUAUCUGUUGGCCUCCUUGGGUUGGUCUGUGUUUACCACACUGACCAUCCAAUCAAUCUUAACUCUUUUUCUGUUAACACAGAAACAUAAGGAAAUUUAUCCUCUGCAAAGAUAAUUAGAACAGAAAAUUCAGGUGCCUAAAUAAUGAAAGUGCACAUAAUACGAAUGUAAUUCACAGCUGGUUGUAGUGCGUCCAUUCAGAGAGUUAUGUGAUGCUCAUGAUCCCACAGGUUUGAGGCCAGUGUGGGCCAGUUGAUUUUCCUUGUUCUAAUCCUCACCCAGCCUUCUUCACGACAUGACAAAGUGGAACAGAUUAGCCCUGAGCUAACAUCUGCCACAAAUCCUCCUCUUUUUGCUGAGGAAGACUGGCCUCGAGCUAACAUCUAUGCCCAUCUUCUCUACUUUAUAUGCAAGACACCUACCACAGCAAGGCUUGCCGAGCAGUGCCAUGUCCGCACCCAGCAUCCGAACCGGCGAACCCUGGGCCGGCGAAGCAGAACGUGCGAACUUAACCUCUGCACCACAGGGCCAGCCUCUCCCCUACCAUCUUUUAAUUCACUUAGUUUAACAGUCACACCACCAGAAGCAGAGAUGAAAAUCUGUGCCUUUGGGAAAAGCUACCAAAAUGGAACCUGCAAAAUGCAAACAACAAGCAGAAGCCCCAAACACAUGCUGCAUGAACUGUGUAUGGAGACUGCCAUUUGGGAAUGAGAACAUCCUGCCUGCUUCAUGAUGAGUCACCAAUUCACAGUCCUUCCCGAAACCUUGCCCUGGUCCUGCUUUUGGAUUCCGGGAGAUAGCCAGGUUUAUUUUGUCUUUAUAAUAAACUUCCCUUUUUGCUUUCUGCUUAAACAACUUUAAGCAGUAUUCCUGCC
This 1335-nucleotide long non-coding RNA is filed under the name Equus caballus (horse). RNAcentral's name for it is "lncRNA (ENSECAG00000054113.1)". Lineage: Eukaryota; Metazoa; Chordata; Mammalia; Perissodactyla; Equidae. The record is from RNAcentral.